GCCUAUGUAGUUUAUACUAAAACAGUGGUCUUGUAAACCACAAAAGGUUAUUUAACCCAAAGGCA
RNAcentral lists this transfer RNA (65 nucleotides) under Diaphanosoma excisum. RNAcentral's name for it is "tRNA-Thr". It matches the Rfam family "tRNA". From Rfam's summary of the family: Transfer RNA (tRNA) molecules are approximately 80 nucleotides in length. Their secondary structure includes four short double-helical elements and three loops (D, anti-codon, and T loops). Further hydrogen bonds mediate the characteristic L-shaped molecular structure. tRNAs have two regions of fundamental functional importance: the anti-codon, which is responsible for specific mRNA codon recognition, and the 3' end, to which the tRNAs corresponding amino acid is attached (by aminoacyl-tRNA synthetases). tRNAs cope with the degeneracy of the genetic code in two manners: having more than one tRNA (with a specific anti-codon) for a particular amino acid; and 'wobble' base-pairing, i.e. permitting non-standard base-pairing at the 3rd anti-codon position. The record is from RNAcentral. Lineage: Eukaryota; Metazoa; Arthropoda; Branchiopoda; Diplostraca; Sididae.